UAAACACUACUCUUAUCCAUAUUUUCCACCAAACCUGAUGCUUGAGAAAAAAUCUCAAAACACUUGUACAAGCAUCGGACAAAAUUCAAAUCACCUCUCAAAAUAGUAAUAAAUCAUCAACAAAAUGAAGUUGGAUGAUUCUAUGUGGUUUACAUCUGGGGUGAUAGUGAAAAUUAGGAUUUAUAUGUAAGUUCUUCAAUAUUUUAGUCAGAUAAUCCAUGGCUAACAUAAAUAAAUAAGGUGAUAAAGGAUCUCCCUGCCUGACCCCUCUCUUUGCUUGAAUAGGUCUAGAAGAUUUCUCAUUAAUCAUCAAUGACCCCUCCUAUUUCUCAUUAUUUUUUUCUUCCUUUGUGCUUUAAAUUUAUUCAGAUAUGAGCUUGUGUUAAAUGCUCAAUCGUUCUUUUAAUUUCUUUUAGCUUAGACGAAUUACCAUGGAGUUAUCUUAAAUUGUUAUAUUAUCAAGUUUACGUUAAAUCUCUUUACCUUGAAAUCCAAGUACAAAUCCUGUUAUGCAAAUUUAAGCUUUCAAGAAUAACUUAAGAACCUUUUAUGUUCUUUCAUAUCUAUUAGAAAGUUCUUUCAUAGUGGCAGACUCCAGUUAAUUAAGAAUGUCAUUUUUGAAAUGCAGACUUAUUGGGCACAGGUAUAUGUCAUUUUUGAAAUGCAGACUUAUUGGGCACAGGUAUUCUUAUUUCCCAAGGAAGUCAUUUCUAU
RNAcentral lists this long non-coding RNA (714 nucleotides) under Capsicum annuum. RNAcentral describes it as "long non-coding RNA (CANN_LNC012686)". The record is from RNAcentral. Lineage: Eukaryota; Viridiplantae; Streptophyta; Magnoliopsida; Solanales; Solanaceae.